Molecule: long non-coding RNA, 1045 nt
Organism: Hermetia illucens (black soldier fly)
Lineage: Eukaryota; Metazoa; Arthropoda; Insecta; Diptera; Stratiomyidae
Exons: 2
Source: RefSeq, a predicted model, not a curated record
CAUGCAAAUAUGUUCAAAUUGAAAAGAGUAUAUGUCCCUGUGUCAAAUAGAGACAAUAAACAAAUGCCCCCUCAAGCCAACUUAGUACAGUUCUAGAAUAAUUAUCAUCAAUCGAAAGAAAGCAAAUAAGUGAGUGAAAGUGAAUAAGGGCAGUCCACAUCUAGGGGAAGUUGAAAACUGACCAUUAAUGUGGCUCCCGAAGGAUAUGUGAAUAAGUAUGUACCAGAUAACGACCGACUUUAUGUUCAUCGCUUGAAUAAAGCGGCUCCAAUCACAGCAAUUAAUAACGCAAGAUUAUAAUUUAAUAGAUCGUAGAACAGUAAAGGAAGGAUAUCGUAAUUAUCUAAUGGCACGUCAUAAUGACCACACCACAAAUAGAGGCUAAUAAAACAUCACAAUCUUUUCAGCAGGGAUUCAAACAUACAUAUAUGCACUUCGAACGUAUGGCCCUUUGAGGAGAAUAUCAAUUCAUUGUAUUAUUACGGCAACGACCUGAAUUCCCCAUUACCCGAUGCAGACAUGAUAUCAAUUCGCUCUACUCAAAUCCCUUAGAUUACUUUGAGUAGGAUGAAUUUAUGAAGCAUUAUGGAAACAAUUAAAACUACAUAUAUUAUUUUGGGGUUGGAUUUCCUCAAGCAAAGCCUCCAAGAGAUAUGCUCAGUAUAUAGGUUCAAAAGACGUUGACCAUAAAGUACCGGGAAAGUAAAGAUGUUAUCUUGCCACGGAAGAUUGCCGACAUUUUAUGGAAAAAUUAUAAGAGUUCAAAAACUAUCCACUUACAGUAAUAUCAAAGUAUAUAGUUUGAAAUCACUUUUCAUAAAUCUAGUUUCUGAAUAGAAUGAUAGCUCGAAUUUGCUAUUUUUACAAACGUGAGUUUAGACCAAAAAUUUAGUUUUAGAAAGAUAGAUAUUUACUUUUCCAACGUUUCCUGUGUUACCUCGACAUCAUCAAAUAUACUAAACGAAGAUAUAUUUAGGUCUAGUACUUUAAUUUUUUCCCAGUAGCGAGUUCAUAAUUUCAAUGAAAAUAAAAGUAUGGCAUUUCA